This 107-nucleotide small nuclear RNA is filed under the name Sapajus apella (tufted capuchin). The record is from RNAcentral. RNAcentral also lists the same sequence under 1 other name. Lineage: Eukaryota; Metazoa; Chordata; Mammalia; Primates; Cebidae.
GUGCUCGCCUUGGCAGCAUAUAUACUAAAAUUGGAACGAUACAGAGAAGAUUAGCAUGGCCCCUGCGCAAGGAUGACACACAAAUUUGUGAACCAUUCCAUAUUUUU